AGUUCCAACCCCCCCAACCACACAUAUACACCCCCUUUAGCUUCUUAGCGUAAACCUAAAGCGGAAAAGCACGUCGGCACCCCUCGCUCAGCUCCAGAGCUCAGCUCCACACGCCCGGACAGCCAGCCCCACCCACACACGCGCGGCCGGGAAGAGCAGGCAGGCAAGGAAGGCAUCCUCCCCUCCCCGCACCCCGGUGGCCCGCCGCGCUCACCGGAAAAAACCAGCAGUGUAACUGAAGUACAUAACCAUGAAUUAAGAGACAUGACAUCUCUUUCCAGACUAACCCCAUGUUGACAGAGCAUCUAGCAGCGAAGGGUAACUGAGAAUGCUACAGAGUACAACACUCUUGCCAUCCUGAGUCUAGAAGCAGUUGAGCCAUGAUGUUCGCAUAAGGCUGUGUGUGGGAGAAGGAGUUCUGCCUUCUGCAUUCAAUUCUUCUGCACUCCCAGGUCAAGGAGCCAUGGAGGCUGAACUGUAUGAAAGUAGUCUGCACCUGCUUGCACGGAAAUACCUACAGUCAGAAACAUUUUUGCAAACAAAUAUAAUGAUUUUAACUGCUUGGCUCCCUGUCUGAAGCCCUAAUUAAAUAAAAGUGCAGCUUCAUAGACAAUUCAAUCAUUUAAGGUGGCACUGACAGUGGAAAUGAGUCUCGCACUCUUCUCUCAAGUCCUCCACUGAGCCAGCAAUGGAGAAACUGCACACCGAGACCAGAUUGGUAAGCUGAGCUGUAUGAAAACUGCUUUGCUUGCAUGACUGGGAGGAAACAGUCAAAGUUCUUUUAAGAUAUUUGUAGUUGGAUCAGUACACAAGUAUGUCUUAAAUUCUGCUUCGUAUGGCAAUGGCAGAAGAAGAAAAUACAAAACUUAUCACUACUUGGAGAGGUAAGAUCUCACCCAAAGUGGCAAAGAAUGCACUGGCAAUACUCCCAGUAUACACAAUGUUAGCUUUUGACUGCACCAGUUGCUAUUGCCCUUCCCUAAAAAUAAUCCAAGUCCUGA
RNAcentral lists this long non-coding RNA (1001 nucleotides) under Gallus gallus (chicken). RNAcentral's name for it is "long non-coding RNA NONGGAT004114". The record is from RNAcentral. Lineage: Eukaryota; Metazoa; Chordata; Aves; Galliformes; Phasianidae.